UACGUAGGGGGCAAGCGUUGUCCGGAUUUAUUGGGCGUAAAGAGCGUGUAGGCGGCCAUUCAGGUCCGUUGUGAAAACUGGAGGCUUAACCUCCAGACGUCGAUGGAAACCGUAUGGCUAGAGUCCGGAAGAGGAGAGUGGAAUUCCUGGUGUAGCGGUGAAAUGCGCAGAUAUCAGGAAGAACACCCGUGGCGAAGGCGGCUCUCUGGGACGGUACUGACGCUGAGACGCGAAAGCGUGGGGAGCGAACAGG
RNAcentral lists this ribosomal RNA (253 nucleotides) under uncultured bacterium. RNAcentral's name for it is "partial 16S ribosomal RNA". It matches the Rfam family "Bacterial small subunit ribosomal RNA", at positions 524 to 776 of the family's 1533-position model. The record is from RNAcentral.